UACGUAGGGUGCUAGCGUUGUCCGGAAUUAUUGGGCGUAAAGAGCUUGUAGGUGGCUCGUCGCGUCGGGAGUGAAAACCCACGGCUUAACCGCGGGCCUGCUUUCGAUACGGGCGGGCUAGAGUUCGGCAGGGGAGACUGGAAUUCCUGGUGUAGCGGUGGAAUGCGCAGAUAUCAGGAGGAACACCGGUGGCGAAGGCGGGUCUCUGGGCCGAUACUGACACUGAGAAGCGAAAGCGUGGGGAGCGAACAGG
Molecule: ribosomal RNA, 253 nt
Filed under: uncultured bacterium
Lineage: Bacteria
Description: partial 16S ribosomal RNA
Rfam family: Bacterial small subunit ribosomal RNA
Source: RNAcentral